Schistosoma mansoni is the source of this 45-nucleotide non-coding RNA. The record is from Rfam. Lineage: Eukaryota; Metazoa; Platyhelminthes; Trematoda; Strigeidida; Schistosomatidae.
AUCCAGCUGUCGAGUCGCAAAUAGGACGAAAGGCGUGUUCUGUAU